This 455-nucleotide ribosomal RNA is filed under the name uncultured Acholeplasma sp. Its description in RNAcentral is "bacterial SSU rRNA". It matches the Rfam family "Bacterial small subunit ribosomal RNA", at positions 923 to 1382 of the family's 1533-position model. Lineage: Bacteria; Bacillati; Mycoplasmatota; Mollicutes; Acholeplasmatales; Acholeplasmataceae. The record is from RNAcentral.
GCACAAGCGGUGGAUCAUGUUGUUUAAUUUCGAUGAUACGCGAAGAACCUUACCAGGUCUUGACAUCCCCCGCGAUGCUUUAGAGAUAAAGCGGAGGUAUUCGGGGAGACAGGUGGUGCAUGGUUGUCGUCAGCUCGUGUCGUGAGAUGUUGGGUUAAGUCCCGCAACGAGCGCAACCCUAUUGCUAGUUACCAUCAUUAAGUUGGGGACUCUAGCGAGACUGCCAGUGAUAAACUGGAGGAAGGUGGGGAUGACGUCAAAUCAUCAUGCCCCUUAUGACCUGGGCUACAAACGUGAUACAAUGGCUGGAACAAAGGGAUGCGAAGCAGUGAUGUGGAGCGAAACCCAAUAAAAACAGUCUCAGUUCGGAUUGAAGUCUGCAACUCGACUUCAUGAAGUCGGAAUCGCUAGUAAUCGCGGAUCAGAACGCCGCGGUGAAUACGUUCUCGGGGUUU